RNAcentral lists this ribosomal RNA (774 nucleotides) under uncultured Neocallimastigales. Its description in RNAcentral is "partial large subunit ribosomal RNA". It matches the Rfam family "Eukaryotic large subunit ribosomal RNA", at positions 24 to 616 of the family's 3401-position model. Lineage: Eukaryota; Fungi; Neocallimastigomycota; Neocallimastigomycetes; Neocallimastigales. The record is from RNAcentral.
UACGACUACAUAUCAGGCAUAUCAAUAAGCGGAGGAAAAGAAACUAACAAGGAUUCCCUUAGUAACGGCGAGCUGAAGCGGGAAGAGCUCAAAUUUGAAAUCUUCAAGGUUUUACCUUGACGAAUUGUAGUUUAAAGAAGUGUUUUCUGUUGGAGUUUUGGUAAAAGUUCUUUGGAAUAGGACAUCAUAGAGGGUGAGAAUCCCGUAUUUGACCAUUAUUUCAGCUUCGUGAUACACUUUCAAAGAGUCGGAUUGUUUGGGAAUGCAGUCCGAAAUGGGUGGUAAAUUUCAUCUAAAGCUAAAUAUUGGCGAGAGACCGAUAGCGAACAAGUACCAGUGAGGGAAAGAUGAAAAGAACUUUGAAAAGAGAGUUAAACAGUACGUGAAAUUGUCAAAAGGGAAGCGUUUGACACCAGUGUUGUUUUCUCGAAAAUCAAUUAAAAAAAGUUGGAUUUUGUGUUGUAUUGACCUUAACAGCUUGCUUCACUCUUUUCCAGCUUUUUUUAAUGCACUUUUCGUUUAACAAGUCAACAUCAGUUUCUUUUGUUGUAAAAGGGUCAUUGGAAGGUGGCUUUCUUUCGGAGAAAGUGUUUAUAGCCUUUGCUCUCUGCAAUCGGAGAGAUUGAGGUCUGCAGCGUAGAUCCUUCGGGGUUAGAUACAUUUGUGCUAAGCUACAGCUUUUCAUAGACAACUUGUUGACUAUGUUUAGUCUUGUGACUUACCCGCUUAUGCUAUUUUACCUACGCUUAGGAUGUUGAGCGCAUGUCUCUCUCU